This 993-nucleotide ribosomal RNA is filed under the name Triticum aestivum (bread wheat). RNAcentral describes it as "partial small subunit ribosomal RNA". Lineage: Eukaryota; Viridiplantae; Streptophyta; Magnoliopsida; Poales; Poaceae. The record is from RNAcentral.
AUGGGAGGGCUAGGCGUCAUUGGCCUUCACAAACACGGCAUUGCUCUUAGGUUGAGGUGGGAAUGGCUUAGACGCACGGAUACUUCCAGGCCGUGGCAAGGGCUUUGCUUGGCCGCGGACAAAUCGGUUGCGCAAGCGUUUAGUAGCUUGGUGAAAUGGAGAGUUGGAGCUGGGGACAAAACCCUGUUCUGGAAGGAUAGAUGGAUCCAGGGUGCUACCAUUGCGGAGGUCGCUCCUCUGGUGGCGAAGUCAGUUCGUACGCAAGUUGCCAACAGGAGACGUGUCCGAGAGGCUCUGGAUAUGCACUCUUGGAUGAAUGAUGUAGUCGGCGACUUGUGCACGGAAGGCCUAACCCAAUUUAUAGGCCUUUGGGAGAUCCUUGAGGAUGUACAUCUGGAUGCGCAGUCCAAGGACAGUCCUAUUUGGGCUUGGAAUGUGUCAGGAACUUACACCGCAUCCUCUGCUUACAAGAUGCUAUAUGAGGGAGGAGUUAGAUUCCACUCCUUUGGAGCUAUUUGGAAGUGCUGGGCCCCUCUGGCUUGCAAAAUUUUCAUGUGGCUGGCUGUCCAAUAUCGGCUAUGGACUUCGGACAGAAGAGCGAGACAUAACUUACAAGAUCAAAUUUCAAAAUGCUUUCUAUGUGACCAAGAGGAGGACACGGUGGACCACAUUCUGCUGCAAUGUGUGUUCUCGAGGCAAGUUUGGUUCACUUGCAUCUCUAGGAUGGGGUUGCCCAUGGAGCUUUGCCCAACCUAUGAUUCUAGAUUGGUGCAUUGGUGGUCGGAUGCUAGAAAGCGUUUUCUUAAGCACUCUCGGAAGGGGUUUGACUCUUUUGUCAUGCUCAUCUGCUGGACGUUAUGGAAACAAAGGAAUGCGAGGGUGUUUGGUUCGGGCCAGAUCAAGAAUGAUCAAGACACGGUGGACAUGAUCUUUGACGAGCUGAGGAUGUGGGCCACGGCAGGAGCUUUUGGAGAGCAAUGUGUGUUAGAGUAG